This 446-nucleotide ribosomal RNA is filed under the name uncultured bacterium. Its description in RNAcentral is "partial 16S ribosomal RNA". It matches the Rfam family "Bacterial small subunit ribosomal RNA", at positions 338 to 795 of the family's 1533-position model. The record is from RNAcentral.
CCUACGGGUGGCUGCAGUCGAGAAUCAUUCACAAUGGGGGAAACCCUGAUGGUGCGACGCCGCGUGGGGGAAUGAAGGUCUUCGGAUUGUAAACCCCUGUCAUGUGGGAGCAAAUUAAAAAGAUAGUACCACAAGAGGAAGAGACGGCUAACUCUGUGCCAGCAGCCGCGGUAAUACAGAGGUCUCAAGCGUUGUUCGGAAUCACUGGGCGUAAAGCGUUCGUAGGCUGUUUCGUAAGUCGUGUGUGAAAGGCGCGGGCUCAACCCGCGGACGGCACAUGAUACUGCGAGACUAGAGUAAGGGAGGGGGAACCGGAAUUCUCGGUGUAGCAGUGAAAUGCGUAGAUAUCGAGAGGAACACUCGUGGCGAAGGCGGGUUCCUGGACAUUAACUGACGCUGAGGCACGAAGGCCAGGGGAGCGAAAGGGAUUAGAUACCCCUGUAGUC